AGCGAACGCUGGCGGCAGGCCUAACACAUGCAAGUCGAACGAACUCUUCGGAGUUAGUGGCGGACGGGUGAGUAACACGUGGGAACGUGCCUUUUGGUUCGGAAUAACUCAGGGAAACUUGUGCUAAUACCGAAUGUGCCCUUCGGGGGAAAGAUUUAUCGCCAUUAGAGCGGCCCGCGUCUGAUUAGCUAGUUGGUGAGGUAACGGCUCACCAAGGCGACGAUCAGUAGCUGGUCUGAGAGGAUGACCAGCCACACUGGGACUGAGACACGGCCCAGACUCCUACGGGAGGCAGCAGUGGGGAAUCUUGCGCAAUGGGCGAAAGCCUGACGCAGCCAUGCCGCGUGAAUGAUGAAGGUCUUAGGAUUGUAAAAUUCUUUCACCGGGGACGAUAAUGACGGUACCCGGAGAAGAAACCCCGGCUAACUUCGUG
RNAcentral lists this ribosomal RNA (433 nucleotides) under uncultured bacterium. Its description in RNAcentral is "partial 16S ribosomal RNA". It matches the Rfam family "Bacterial small subunit ribosomal RNA", at positions 29 to 507 of the family's 1533-position model. The record is from RNAcentral.